CAGUUGGUAGCUCAGUGGUAGGGUUCAUGCUUUGUGUGUAUGACACCCUGGGUUCAAAUCCCAGGUUGCAGA
Molecule: transfer RNA, 72 nt
Filed under: Dallia pectoralis (Alaska blackfish)
Lineage: Eukaryota; Metazoa; Chordata; Actinopteri; Esociformes; Umbridae
Description: tRNA-Thr
Rfam family: tRNA (bases 8-64)
About the family: Transfer RNA (tRNA) molecules are approximately 80 nucleotides in length.
Source: RNAcentral